GAUGAACGCUGGCGGCGUGCCUAAUACAUGCCAGUAGAACGCUGAAGGAGGAGCUUGCUCUUCCGGAUGAGUUGCGAACGGGUGAGUAACACGUAGGUAACCUGCCUGGUAGCGGGUGAUAACUCUUGGAAACGAUAGCUAAUACCGCAUGACAACAGUUAUUGCAUGAUAAUUGUUUAAAAGGGGCAACUGCUCCACUACCAGAUGGACCUGCGUUGUAUUAGCUAGUUGGUGAAGUAACGGCUCACCAAGGCGACGAUACAUAGUCGACCUGGGAGGGGGAUUGGCCACAAUGGGACUGGGACACGGGCCCAACUUCCACGGGAGGCAGCAGUAGGGGAUCUUUGGGAAUGGACGGAAGUCUGGCCGAGCAAAGGCGCGUGGGUGAAGAAGGUUUUCGGAUCGUAAAGAUCUGUUGUAAGAGAAGAACGAGUGGGGGAGUGGAAAGUUCACACUGUGACGGUAUCUUACCAGAAAGGGACGGCUAACUACGUG
Molecule: ribosomal RNA, 495 nt
Filed under: uncultured bacterium
Lineage: Bacteria
Description: partial 16S ribosomal RNA
Rfam family: Bacterial small subunit ribosomal RNA
Source: RNAcentral